GGUAACUUCACAGUACUAACAUGAAAUAAUUUAAUUACCUUACCUUGAAUACUCAUCGUUGCUUGCUCGUUGUAUAGGGGUAAUGUCUAGAUUUGCUGUAAUUGUUACUACAAUGGGUCCUUGGGUUUGUAAUAUGCUACAUAAGAACUGAUAUUGUUUAAAGCUUUCCAUAUUAAAUAUUUUCGUAAUACCAUCUUCAUAACAAUCAGCAGUUCACCAAUAUAAGCUUUUCCAACAUAAGUUGUCAUCUCAGAAAUGUUCAACAACACGACCUUUCUCAAAAUCGUCCAUUUCUCACGAGUAGCACAUUUGGGCUCAUUCCAUUAAGUAUCAUACAAACAAUGGCUUUGUUCAUCAGAGAAAAUUGGCUGACAAUCAUAUUUUGGUCACAGAUGAACAUAUGUUUCUCCUCUGUUGUUCUUAACAUUCUUAGAAUAUAGUGAAAUAUAAAUUGUGUAAUUUAAGCUUAUUUACUGUUUUUCCAUAAAGUGCUGAUUUUGUUAAAACAAUUUGUCAAAGCAAGUUUUGCUUGGAAAGAGUCCCAUAAUUGAAAAUCUUAACAGCAGUUGUUUUGUGAAGACUAGUUCUAGGGAGCACCAAUUUAAACAGCAGACCUCAGUAAAGUGAGCUAUCUUAGUUUUUCGUGCUGUUUUUACAAACAAUGUCGACAAUAUGUAACUUAAUAUCUUUAUUUAAGACCACUAGUUUAUAUUCUCCUCAUUUGUUUGCACACAUACACUCGUGUUCAGGGAAAAAAAAAAAAGAAAACAGAACACAUUUAACAACUAGAGAAAGGACAUUCAUAUUCACAGGACAUAUAAAUUACUAUGCCAUGCAGAAAUAAUUAGCAUUUCAAUCACCUUUACAAAACAUUGUCUUCACACUCGACUUCACCUGCCUAGCCUGUUUUAGAUGGGGCUAAUCUUCAAUGGCCAUUUCUCCCUCUUUAAACUGAGAAAACCAUUCGUACAUUUGAGUUUCACUAAGAGUGUGUUCUUUGUAGGUUAUCUGCAUCAUCACAAAAUUUUUUGCUGCUCACUUGCCAAGUAAAAAACAACUUGCCAAGUAAAAAACAAUAUUUCACAGCCGGACCUUGUUCAUAAGAAGUAGCCAUUUUGUCAUGUUGCAUCUGUACUUUACACGCACUGCCGGAACUGCUAGAGAAACCACACACCUGCCUAUCACAGUACAAUCAACCUGAAAUUUAUUACAUGAAAUUAGAAUAGAUUCUUCAUAUAAGUACCAAUCUCAGCAACUACAUCUAGACGUUUACAGAACAUAACAUAUACAUUAUAUGACCAAUUAAUGUUUUAAUAACAAAUCUAUUAGUUGAGUUAGAAGAUGAUUCAAACUGGGACAAAGCAAUACCGACAAUAGGUUGUUUUGCAGUACUAAAAUAAGAAGGCUCACAUUUACAACUAUCGUCCCAAUUACUUUUGUAACCAAAGAAUUAAAUUUAAGGGGCAAUGAGUCGAGGGACAAGUUCACACACCAAUUUACAGAUUAAAAAUUAAUCUUGUGCAUUAACAAAUAUGCCAGAUUACAUCCGAGUUAAUUGAGGAUACGGUCACCAAAAGCCUUUGCAUUUGAGCACUUUUGUCAGUGUUCUGUACAGUUCUGCAUGUGUUCUGUACAGUUCUCCAUGUGUUUGAUAGACCAGUGCCACUGUUCUAGAUAGCUGAAAAGGUUUUCAGUUGUUUACGUAACCUCUUGUACAGAAUCUUUAUUGUAAAUGAGCAAUUUUUGGCAUUUUAUUCACAAAACUUUGCGACAGUGUAAGGAAAAGGUUACUGUGUUAGAUAUAGGUCACUUGCAACUUGCUAUCUCCAUUCUGGCCACAUUGUUCAGUUUCAUCGAACCCCACAUUCCCCUGGGCUGAGCUUGAAUAGAGCACAUGCAAUCUUUGACUUGUCUGCUAUAAAUUCAAACAGCAAACUUUAUAGCAGUAUGAGCAUUAAAUGAGAUUGCUUUGGCUUUAGGAGGAAGAUAGGGGCUGCAAUACCCAAAGAAAUUGAAGAAUUCAGUCUUGGACACAUUUUGAUCUAUUUACUCAAAUUGGGGCCUCUGGGAUAAACUCCCAAAGCUGUGAUUUCUUAAUCUUAUUUAAUACUUUGAUUCUUACAUUGUUGAUGCAGAAAGUAUGCAAUAAUGUUUUUUCACGUACACCAUGCGCGACUAACGAACGAUUUAUAAAACAUUAAUUGAAAUUAAAACUUUCAGCUCUUUCAGUUUGUGUAUUCAGUACUAAUACAUAUGAGUAACAAUUUAAAUAAGAUUAAUUCAUGACAUUGUGGUUAUAUGUCAAAAGGCAAGAAUAAACUCAUAUAUUUGAGUAUUUGAGGACUGCGUACAAGAAGAAGAAGAAGAAGAAGAAGAAGAAGAAGGAAGCACUGCGGACCUACAAAGACAAUAUUUGUUAACAGGAUAUGUUAGUGUUAAAUUAUAUGCCUCAAUUGCAGAAGCAAUCUUUGUUUGACAAACUUAACAACGAAAUAGUUAUAUGCCUAAUGCUCAGCAUUACAGGUACAUGCUAAAGCAGAUGUUAAAGAGCUGUUGCAUACUGUAAAGUGUUGUUUUAAGAAUAAAUUCCACAGUACACUGUAAAGUUCUCAUGUAUCUGCAACCUUAUUGGAAACACACAAUUUUUAUAAAUGUAGCAACUGAAUAAAGUUACUAAAUGUAAGUCUGAAGUGUACCAAAAGUUAUAAAAAACAUUCUCAACUUUUUACAGCAUAUGUCUAUUAUUUAAGACACUUGAAAUGAUUGUAUUAUUAUGACCUGGUGUGUAUAUGUUAAAAUACAUUGAAAAUAAAUAUUUUCUGUACUAUUGUUCA
Molecule: long non-coding RNA, 2834 nt
Organism: Schistocerca gregaria
Lineage: Eukaryota; Metazoa; Arthropoda; Insecta; Orthoptera; Acrididae
Exons: 2
Source: RefSeq, a predicted model, not a curated record